GUUUAGUGGUCAGAACAUUGGUACGUAAAGCCAAAGGUCUCGGGUUCGAUUCCCGG
This 56-nucleotide transfer RNA is filed under the name Agrilus planipennis (emerald ash borer). It matches the Rfam family "tRNA", at positions 10 to 63 of the family's 71-position model. From Rfam's summary of the family: Transfer RNA (tRNA) molecules are approximately 80 nucleotides in length. Their secondary structure includes four short double-helical elements and three loops (D, anti-codon, and T loops). Lineage: Eukaryota; Metazoa; Arthropoda; Insecta; Coleoptera; Buprestidae. The record is from Rfam by way of RNAcentral.